GCGGCAAUAGCUCAGUUGGUAGAGCGUUGGCUUCCCAAGCCGAAGGUCGCGGGUUCGAGCCCCGUUUGCCGCU
This 73-nucleotide transfer RNA is filed under the name Paludibacteraceae bacterium. RNAcentral's name for it is "tRNA-Gly". It matches the Rfam family "tRNA". From Rfam's summary of the family: Transfer RNA (tRNA) molecules are approximately 80 nucleotides in length. Their secondary structure includes four short double-helical elements and three loops (D, anti-codon, and T loops). Further hydrogen bonds mediate the characteristic L-shaped molecular structure. tRNAs have two regions of fundamental functional importance: the anti-codon, which is responsible for specific mRNA codon recognition, and the 3' end, to which the tRNAs corresponding amino acid is attached (by aminoacyl-tRNA synthetases). tRNAs cope with the degeneracy of the genetic code in two manners: having more than one tRNA (with a specific anti-codon) for a particular amino acid; and 'wobble' base-pairing, i.e. permitting non-standard base-pairing at the 3rd anti-codon position. The record is from RNAcentral. RNAcentral also lists the same sequence under 1 other name. Lineage: Bacteria; Pseudomonadati; Bacteroidota; Bacteroidia; Bacteroidales; Paludibacteraceae.